RNAcentral lists this ribosomal RNA (253 nucleotides) under uncultured bacterium. RNAcentral describes it as "partial 16S ribosomal RNA". It matches the Rfam family "Bacterial small subunit ribosomal RNA", at positions 524 to 776 of the family's 1533-position model. The record is from RNAcentral.
UACAGAGGGUGCGAGCGUUGUCUGGAAUCACUGGGCGUAAAGGGCGCGUAGGCGGCUUGAUAAGGUUGCGGUGAAAGCCCGGGGCUCAACCCCGGGUCGGCCGUGGCAACUGUCGAGCUGGAGCACUGUAGAGGCAGGUGGAAUUCCGGGUGUAGCGGUGGAAUGCGUAGAGAUCCGGAAGAACACCGGUGGCGAAGGCGGCCUGCUGGGCAGUGGCUGACGCUGAGGCGCGACAGCGUGGGGAGCAAACAGG